RNAcentral lists this ribosomal RNA (166 nucleotides) under uncultured Spirochaetota bacterium. RNAcentral describes it as "uncultured Spirochaetes bacterium partial 16S ribosomal RNA". It matches the Rfam family "Bacterial small subunit ribosomal RNA", at positions 366 to 525 of the family's 1533-position model. The record is from RNAcentral. Lineage: Bacteria; Pseudomonadati; Spirochaetota.
UUGGCAUGGACGGAGUCUGACGGAGCGACGCCGCGUGGAUGAAGAAGGCCGAAAGGUUGUAAAGUUCUUUUGCUAGGGGAGAAUAAGUGUGGGAGGGAAUGCCUGCACGAUGACAAGGACUAGCGAAUAAGUCCCGGCCAACUACGUGCCAGCAGCCGCGGUAAUA